UACAGAGGGUGCAAGCGUUAAUCGGAAUUAUUGGGCGUAAAGGGCGUGUAGGCGGAUGAAUAAGUUGGAUGUGAAAUACUCGGGCUUAACCUGGGGGCUGCAUUCAAAACUGUUUGUCUAGAGUACGGUAGAGGGAGGUAGAAUUUCAGGUGUAGCGGUGAAAUGCGUAGAUAUCUGAAGGAAUACCGGUGGCGAAGGCGACCUCCUGGACCGAUACUGACGCUGAGGCGCGAAAGCGUGGGGAGCAAACAGG
Molecule: ribosomal RNA, 253 nt
Filed under: uncultured bacterium
Lineage: Bacteria
Description: partial 16S ribosomal RNA
Rfam family: Bacterial small subunit ribosomal RNA
Source: RNAcentral